UUCGCAAUCGGGCUUCGGCUCGUGGUCGGCCUUUGCAUUCAUUGUCGGUACGUGCUGGGACGUUUGGCAGGCUCUUCUGAAGGCUUCAGAGUGGCCCAGGCUUGCCUGGUAGUCUUCUGUUGUCGGAAGUUGAUAUGCUUGCUAAUCGUAAAGUUGACCAGGCCUCUGCGCGGUCAGUUGCUGGGUAGUUCUCUGCUUGGUAGUCGGACAUGUCUGGCUGCCUCGUGCGAGGGCUGGUUAGUGGCUGCUCGCCUAUGGUUCAAUCCCGGUAUGUGAAAGUCGACCACCUAUCCGACCCGUCUUGAAACACGGACCAAGAAGUCUAGUAUGUACGCGAGUCAUUGGGUAUCAAAACCUAUUGGCGCAAUAAAUGUGAAGGGCGGCUCGUUCGUCUGAUAUGUGAUCCGUCGGUUUCGGCCGGCGGCGCAACAUAGUCCCAUGCCUACUGCUUGCAGUGGUGUGGAGAUGGAGCUUACACACUAGGACCCGAAAGAUGGUGAACUUUGCCUGAG
RNAcentral lists this ribosomal RNA (512 nucleotides) under Rhabditida sp. 3010ed. RNAcentral describes it as "eukaryotic LSU rRNA". It matches the Rfam family "Eukaryotic large subunit ribosomal RNA", at positions 449 to 841 of the family's 3401-position model. The record is from RNAcentral. Lineage: Eukaryota; Metazoa; Nematoda; Chromadorea; Rhabditida.